This is a long non-coding RNA of Theobroma umbraticum, 446 nucleotides long. RefSeq lists it as uncharacterized. The record is from RefSeq and is a predicted model, not a curated record. NCBI's taxonomy places the organism in Eukaryota, Viridiplantae, Streptophyta, Magnoliopsida, Malvales, Malvaceae.
UGAGAGAGAAUAAAGAGAAAAGAAAGGAAAAUAAGGCAAAAGGCAAGUGAUCUUGGGCAAUCCGCCCAUGUAAGCACAAAAUGGAGAAAACUAAAGAAAUUUUCAAGGCUUGGCCUUGACAGAUCCGUCCACUGCCAAGAAGAAAAGAGAAAGGAGAAGAAAAAGGGAAGACAAAGGAAGAAAGGAAGGAGAGAAAGGGAGAAAGGAGGAACAAGAAAAAAGAAAGGGAGGGUUCAACUUAGUGAACCCAAGGCAAGCAACAACCCACAUAGAUUCAAAGGACCCGAGGCAUGCAUGCAAGUAGAUCUUGGAAUCUGUGGUGAUUUUGAAGUUAAAUAAACAAUGGAUAAGUGAUUAGCUUAGGUGCAUAGCUCAGCACAUCGAGACUUGCUACAACGUAGGUAAUGGCAUCUCUUAAGCUCCCACUAUGAGUCACUCCACUGCCU